RNAcentral lists this ribosomal RNA (468 nucleotides) under uncultured bacterium. Its description in RNAcentral is "partial 16S ribosomal RNA". It matches the Rfam family "Bacterial small subunit ribosomal RNA", at positions 28 to 507 of the family's 1533-position model. The record is from RNAcentral.
GACGAACGCUGGCGGCGUGCUUAACACAUGCAAGUCGAACGGAAAGGCCCUGCUUUUGUGUGGUGCUCGAGUGGCGAACGGGUGAGUAACACGUGAGUAAUCUGCCCUUGACUUUGGGAUAACUUCAGGAAACUGGGGCUAAUACACGAUAGGAACUCCUGCUGCAUGGUGGGGGUUGGAAAGUUUCGGCGGUUGGGGAUGGACUCGCGGCUGAUCAGCUUGUUGGUGGGGUAGGGGCUUACCAAGGCUUAGACGGGUAGCCGGGCUGAGAGGGGCGCCGGCCACAUUAGGACUGAGAUACGGCACAGACUCAUACGGGAGGGAGCGGAGGAGAAGAGAGCACUAUGGGCGGAGGGAAGAUCUAGCGAAGCGGCGUGGGGGAUGUGAGGAAUUGGGUUGGUAAGUGCUGCUGCAUGAGAAGAGGCGAGAAUGACGGUAACGGGGUAAGAAGCCCCGGCUAACUACGUG